This is a long non-coding RNA of Cyprinodon tularosa, 530 nucleotides long. RefSeq lists it as uncharacterized. Lineage: Eukaryota; Metazoa; Chordata; Actinopteri; Cyprinodontiformes; Cyprinodontidae. The record is from RefSeq and is a predicted model, not a curated record. The transcript has 2 exons.
GUUGAUCAUUUUCCUUUUAAUCUUUUAAACUCACAUUUCUCUGGAUUAAAACCCAACAUUUUUGGUGCUGAAACUCCGGGAGUCAAGAUCCAAUUGUCCAGGACCGUGCGGGACCAAGGCCAAGAAACUGACGACAGCCGUCCACCCUUUGCCGGACAGAGCCAAUAGGUUGGUCCAGCCCUGCCCUGGACAUCCUGGUGACGACUCAAGCUGAGGACUGAUCUGCACAGAAACGGAAGGCCUGAAGCCUGGAGACCGAGUGCUGAUUAAAAUCAUCAAAAGGAAAACUUGGAAAGCUCCGAGGUGGGAAGGACCCUACAUAGAGCAACUAACAACCCCCACCACUGUGAAGAUCCAGGAGAGAAACACUUGGAUCCACCAGAGUCAUUGUAAACUGAUUAAAAAAUUUCCUCAGCAAAAAAGCCCAGUUACUUUCACAGGGACCCCACGACUAAGGUAUAGAUCUGUGGUGAAGUCCAGCUUCAAAGGGGUUUGGUUUUUUUAGGACCAAUCGUCUCAACGCUGGUGAA